Molecule: non-coding RNA, 74 nt
Organism: Picea glauca (white spruce)
Lineage: Eukaryota; Viridiplantae; Streptophyta; Pinopsida; Pinales; Pinaceae
Source: Rfam
UCCGUUGUCGUCUAGUCCGGUCACGAUACCUGGUUUUUACCCAGGCGACCCAGGUUCAAAUCCCGGUAACAGAA